GACAGAGGUGCCGAGCGUUAGGCGGAAUCACUGGGCUUAAAGCGUGUGUAGGCGGCCCGUUAAGUGUCUUGUGAAAUCCCCCGGCUCAACCGGGGAACUGCUGGGCAUACUGGCGGGCUUGGGUCGCUCAGGGGCAGACGGAACAGGCGGUGGAGCGGUGAAAUGCGUAGAUAUCGGAAGGAACACCGGUGGCGAAAGCGGCGCGCUGGACCUCUUCUGACGCUGAGGCGCGAAAGCCAGGGGAGCGAACGGG
RNAcentral lists this ribosomal RNA (253 nucleotides) under uncultured bacterium. RNAcentral describes it as "partial 16S ribosomal RNA". It matches the Rfam family "Bacterial small subunit ribosomal RNA", at positions 524 to 776 of the family's 1533-position model. The record is from RNAcentral.